CGCGGGGGAGGACGGCGAUUUCGUCCCCAGCCUCACGAGGUCGGGAAGGGGUUCCCGCACCCACAUUUGUGAACCUCGCCGCCGCCCGUCCCCUGCCUUCACGAACCCGCCGCCGCCCGUCCCCUACUCUUCCUCGUGCACCCACCGUCGCUCGUCCCCUCGUCUUCCUUGCGCACUCGCCGUCGCCUCCUCCUCGCCCUCACGCACUUGAGGCCAGCUGCAGAACGAGGUCGGACGGCGGAGACGAGGUCGAGGUCU
RNAcentral lists this long non-coding RNA (258 nucleotides) under Zea mays. RNAcentral's name for it is "long non-coding RNA (ZMAY_LNC002541)". Lineage: Eukaryota; Viridiplantae; Streptophyta; Magnoliopsida; Poales; Poaceae. The record is from RNAcentral.